AUUGAACGCUGGCGGCAUGCCUUACACAUGCAAGUCGAACGGCAGCAUGGAGAGCUUGCUCUCUGAUGGCGAGUGGCGAACGGGUGAGUAAAGCAUCGGAACGUACCGUGUAGUGGGGGAUAACGUAGCGAAAGUUACGCCAAUACCGCAUACGCACUGAGGUGGAAAGCAGGGGAUCGCAAGACCUUGCGUUAUACGAGCGGCCGAUGUCAGAUUAGCUAGUUGGUAGGGUAAAGGCCUACCAAGGCGACGAUCUGUAGCGGGUCUGAGAGGAUGAUCCGCCACACUGGGACUGAGACACGGCCCAGACUCCUACGGGAGGCAGCAGUGGGGAAUUUUGGACAAUGGGGGCAACCCUGAUCCAGCCAUGCCGCGUGAGUGAAGAAGGCCUUCGGGUUGUAAAGCUCUUUCGGCCGGGAAGAAAUCGCGCAGGCUAAUACUCUGUGUGGAUGACGGUACCGGCAUAAGAAGCACCGGCUAACUACGUGCCAGCCGCCGCGGUAA
RNAcentral lists this ribosomal RNA (504 nucleotides) under uncultured bacterium. RNAcentral describes it as "partial 16S ribosomal RNA". It matches the Rfam family "Bacterial small subunit ribosomal RNA", at positions 30 to 523 of the family's 1533-position model. The record is from RNAcentral.